UCAAGAAAAAAAGUUCAUAAACGUGUGCAAAAAAGUGAAAAGCCUUUUGCGAAAAAUGUGAGUGCCAGCCGUUGCUAAUUGAAGUUCAAUGGAAAAAUGACCAAAAGUUAAUGAUGACAUUUCGCCGGCAGAAAAAAAUAGCAAAACACAAAACGUAAAGCAGCACAAAUAGGAAUGGAAACGAAAGAGUAUAAGAGCCGAGUAAGCGUGCAAAAAAAAAAAAAAAUAAU
Long non-coding RNA from Drosophila arizonae, 230 nucleotides. NCBI's taxonomy places the organism in Eukaryota, Metazoa, Arthropoda, Insecta, Diptera, Drosophilidae. The record is from RefSeq and is a predicted model, not a curated record.